UAACAAGGAUUCCCCUAGUAACUGCGAGUGAAGCGGGAAAAGCUCAAAUUUAAAAUCUGGCGGUCUUUGGCUGUCCGAGUUGUAGUCUGGAGAAGUGCUUUCCGCGCUGGACCGUGUACAAGUUUCUUGGAACAGAGCGUCAUAGAGGGUGAGAAUCCCGUCUUUGACACGGACUACCAGUGCUUUGUGAUGCGCUCUCAAAGAGUCGAGUUGUUUGGGAAUGCAGCUCUAAAUGGGUGGUAAAUUCCAUCUAAAGCUAAAUAUUGGCGAGAGACCGAUAGCGAACAAGUACCGUGAGGGAAAGAUGAAAAGCACUUUGGAAAGAGAGUUAAACAGUACGUGAAAUUGCUGAAAGGGAAACGCUUGAAGUCAGUCGCGUUGGCCGGGACUCAGCCUUGCUUUUUGCUUGGUGCAUUUUCCGGUCGACGGGCCAGCAUCGAUUUUGACCGUCGGAAAAGGGCUAGGGAAAUGUGGCACCUUCGGGUGUGUUAUAGUCUCUAGUCGCAUGCGGCGGUUGGGAUCGAGGAACGCAGCGCGCCGCAAGGCAGGGGUUCGCCCACUUUCGCGCUUAGGAUGCUGGCAUAAUGGCUUUAAACGAC
RNAcentral lists this ribosomal RNA (599 nucleotides) under Fomes fomentarius. RNAcentral's name for it is "eukaryotic LSU rRNA". It matches the Rfam family "Eukaryotic large subunit ribosomal RNA", at positions 66 to 648 of the family's 3401-position model. The record is from RNAcentral. Lineage: Eukaryota; Fungi; Basidiomycota; Agaricomycetes; Polyporales; Polyporaceae.